CAGUAGCCGCGGUAAUACGAGGGGGGCAAGCGUUGUUCGGAUUUAUUGGGCGUAAAGGGUGCGUAGGCGGUUUGGCAAGUCUUGUGUGAAAUCUUCGGGCUCAACCCGAAGCCUGCACGAGAAACUACCGGGCUUGAGUAUUGGAGAGGUGAGUGGAAUUUCCGGUGUAGAGGUGAAAUUCGUAGAUAUUGGGAAGAACACCGGUGGCGAAGGCGGCAACCUGGUCCUUGACUGACGCUGAGGCGCGAAAGCGUGGGGAGCAAACAGGAUUAGAUACCCGGGUAGUCCCUGUCUCUUAUAU
RNAcentral lists this ribosomal RNA (301 nucleotides) under uncultured bacterium. Its description in RNAcentral is "partial 16S ribosomal RNA". It matches the Rfam family "Bacterial small subunit ribosomal RNA", at positions 509 to 809 of the family's 1533-position model. The record is from RNAcentral.